Molecule: long non-coding RNA, 1294 nt
Filed under: Parus major (Great Tit)
Lineage: Eukaryota; Metazoa; Chordata; Aves; Passeriformes; Paridae
Description: lncRNA (ENSPMJG00000001199.1)
Source: RNAcentral
AUGCUUUCUCUCUCAGGGCAGACACAGGAGUCAGAGCAGCUGCACAACUCCAGCCUUUUCCAGCCUUGCACAACUGUGCCUGUGCCUUUCUUUUUUUUAAAAAAAAAGGGCCAAGCCUGUACUAUUUUAAAGGCUCAGCCAUAUUAUUGUUCCCUUCACAACCUUUACACAAUACUGUGUACAACCCAUAAUAAACAGAUUUGCUACCAUGCUUUCUGUGGGCUAGGCACAUGUAUCAAAACUAAAACAACUGUUUCAUUAACAGCAACCUAUAUAUUCCAGCAAGGUCUGUAAGAGAUGACAGACUAAAGUUAAGCAUCUUAAAAGUGCAGUUUUGAAAAAUGAAAUUCAUAGACCUCAGGAGGAGCUGCAGGGUUUCUGUUCAUCAGUAAAAUGGGUCUAAAAAUUUAGGAAUAUUUCAGAUGGCUUGUGGGUCUAUAAAUAUGAUCACACAUUUAAGAAAAAAAAAAAGGAAGAAUUUUUACUCACAAGAAUGAUGCAUUAUGGUGACCAGGAAAGCAGAGUAGGGUAGGCUUCUGGCUUCUUUAUGAAAUUCCUUUCACUUUGCUAAAGCUGCUGCUCAGAGGAAAUAGGAGUAGCUUUGGUAACUGUUAUCCCUGUGGAUGGCUGACAUAAUUUGGGACUGGCAAGGACAUUGAUUUUCUAUCAAAACCUUAACAGGUCACACAUACAAAACAGAUACACCAAUUGAUUGUUCAUCUAAAGCAGAACUCAUUUCACACAAUGCCACUGCAGCCAAUAUGAUCUGGAGAGCAACUAAGAAAACCUCAGUAGUGGACAUGUACUACUGCAGAGCACCUUACAACUUAGCCAAACUGGCAGGUAUUAUUUAUACCAUCAGUGCACCACAGUUUAGUUCACUGGCCAUUUCAGCUUAGAAUCAGCCACAACUUAGGCAAGUCUGAGAACAGCUAAGCUGUUUCCUUCUCCCUGUUAAGUGUACUAAUAUACAUAUGAAAUUUGACAUGGGAUUUCUUUUUGUGCAGUCUGGAGAUUAUUUCCCAUUUUAUGGUGAUAAGAGCACAGCCUAGAAAGAGAUGUGUUUAACUCACUUUUCUCUAAUGUCAGAUUAUGGCUGAUAAUGCCUGGUGUCCUCAUCCAAUGAUAUGCCAUGCAAUAACCAGCUGCUAUUGUCAAGUCAACUCUUUUGUACCUCCUUAACACUAUGUAAAACCCUGAAAGAGAUGAUGAAAAGUAUGUGUAUAUAUGUAUAUAAACCCUGACAAGAAUACCUGUUCCUGAGAAAUGGUUCCUCCCUACCUCACUAACUGUA